RNAcentral lists this ribosomal RNA (468 nucleotides) under uncultured bacterium. RNAcentral describes it as "partial 16S ribosomal RNA". It matches the Rfam family "Bacterial small subunit ribosomal RNA", at positions 28 to 507 of the family's 1533-position model. The record is from RNAcentral.
GACGAACGCUGGCGGCGUGCUUAACACAUGCAAGUCGAACGGAAAGGCCCUGCUUUUGUGGGGUGCUCGAGUGGCGAACGGGUGAGUAACACGUGAGUAACCUGCCCUUGACUUUGGGAUAACUUCAGGAAACUGGGGCUAAUACCGGAUAGGAGCUCCUGCUGCAUGGUGGGGGUUGGAAAGUUUCGGCGGUUGGGGAUGGACUCGCGGCUUAUCAGCUUGUUGGUGGGGUAGUGGCUUACCAAGGCUUUGACGGGUAGCCGGCCUGAGAGGGUGACCGGCCACAUUGGGACUGAGGUACGGCCCAGACUUCUACGGGAGGCAGCAGUGGGGAAUAUUGCACAAUGGGCGGAAGCCUGAUGCAGCAACGCCGCGUGCGGGAUGACGGCCUUCGGGUUGUAAACCGCUUUCGCCUGUGACGAAGCGUGAGUGACGGUAAUGGGUAAAGAAGCACCGGCUAACUACGUG